RNAcentral lists this ribosomal RNA (1152 nucleotides) under metagenome. RNAcentral describes it as "bacterial SSU rRNA". It matches the Rfam family "Bacterial small subunit ribosomal RNA", at positions 322 to 1499 of the family's 1533-position model. The record is from RNAcentral.
AGACACGGCCCAGACUCCUACGGGAGGCAGCAGUGGGGAAUAUUGCACAAUGGGGGAAACCCUGAUGCAGCGACGCCGCGUGGAGGAAGAAGGUCUUCGGAUUGUAAACUCCUGUUGUUGAGGAAGAUAAUGACGGUACUCAACAAGGAAGUGACGGCUAACUACGUGCCAGCAGCCGCGGUAAAACGUAGGUCACAAGCGUUGUCCGGAAUUACUGGGUGUAAAGGGAGCGCAGGCGGGAAGACAAGUUGGAAGUGAAAUCCAUGGGCUCAACCCAUGAACUGCUUUCAAAACUGUUUUUCUUGAGUAGUGCAGAGGUAGGCGGAAUUCCCGGUGUAGCGGUAGAAUGCGUAGAUAUCGGGAGGAACACCAGUGGCGAAGGCGGCCUACUGGGCACCAACUGACGCUGAGGCUCGAAAGUGUGGGUAGCAAACAGGAUUGGAUACCCUGGUAGUCCACACUGUAAACGAUAAUUACUAGGUGUUGGAGGAUUGACCCCUUCAGCGCCGCAGUUAACACAAUAAGUAAUCCACCUGGGGAGUACGACCGCAAGGUUGAAACUCAAAGGAAUUGACGGGGGCCCGCACAAGCAGUGGAGUAUGUGGUUUAAUUCGACGCAACGCGAAGAACCUUACCAAGUCUUGACAUCCUGCGACGCACAUAGAAAUAUGUGUUUCCUUCGGGACGCAGAGACAGGUGGUGCAUGGUUGUCGUCAGCUCGUGUCGUGAGAUGUUGGGUUAAGUCCCGCAACGAGCGCAACCCUUAUGGUCAGUUACUACGCAAGAGGACUCUGGCCAGACUGCCGUUGACAAAACGGAGGAAGGUGGGGAUGACGUCAAAUCAUCAUGCCCUUUAUGACUUGGGCUACACACGUACUACAAUGGCGUUAAACAAAGAGAAGCAAGACCGCGAGGUGGAGCAAAACUCAGAAACAACGUCCCAGUUCGGACUGCAGGCUGCAACUCGCCUGCACGAAGUCGGAAUUGCUAGUAAUCGCAGAUCAGCAUGCUGCGGUGAAUACGUUCCCGGGCCUUGUACACACCGCCCGUCACACCAUGAGAGCCGGGGGGACCCGAAGUCGGUAGUCUAACCGCAAGGAGGACGCCGCCGAAGGUAAAACUGGUGAUUGGGGUGAAGUCGUAACAAGGUAG